CCUACGGGAGGCAGCAGUAGGGAAUAUUGCUCAAUGGGGGAAACCCUGAAGCAGCAACGCCGCGUGGAGGAUGAAGGUUUUCGGAUUGUAAACUCCUUUUGUUAGAGAAGAUAAUGACGGUAUCUAACGAAUAAGCACCGGCUAACUCCGUGCCAGCAGCCGCGGUAAUACGGAGGGUGCAAGCGUUACUCGGAAUCACUGGGCGUAAAGAGCGCGUAGGCGGGAUAGCAAGUCAGAUGGGAAAUCCUAGGGCUUAACCAUAGAACUGCAUUUGAAACUGUUAUUCUUGAGUAUGGGAGAGGUAGGUGGAAUGCGUGGUGCAGGGGUAAAAUCCAUAGAGAUCAAGAGGAAUACUCAUUGCGAAGGCGACCUGCUAGAGCAUAACUGACGCUGAUGCGCGAAAGCGUGGGGAGCAAACAGGAUUAGAUACCCCUGUAGUC
Molecule: ribosomal RNA, 440 nt
Filed under: uncultured bacterium
Lineage: Bacteria
Description: partial 16S ribosomal RNA
Rfam family: Bacterial small subunit ribosomal RNA
Source: RNAcentral